RNAcentral lists this transfer RNA (54 nucleotides) under Halorubrum ezzemoulense. Its description in RNAcentral is "tRNA-OTHER". Lineage: Archaea; Methanobacteriati; Methanobacteriota; Halobacteria; Halobacteriales; Haloferacaceae. The record is from RNAcentral.
GAGUACGGCAAGCCUUCCAAUCUCAUGGCCCGGGUUCAAAUCCCGGCCGGCGCA